CGCAUGAAAAGCAAGAAAAAAGAAGGGAAGGAGGGGAGAAAAGAAGGAGGGAAGAAAAGAAUACAGAGGAGAGAGGCAGAAUGAGAGGGAGGAAAGAAGAAGGUCCUGUGCCCCGGAGCUCUUCCUCCCUCCCACAGGUUUUUAUCCAAGGUAUAUUACCAUACACUAAGCCUGAACUCUCCAGGGAAAUUAUGUCAAACCAUAACCAAGGAAAUGGGAUUGUAAAAAAUCACCCCAGGAGCCAGCCGUCUGGAAUUCACCUUUAUGAAGCAAGAACGAACAUACCCAAAAGGUGGCGCUGUGACACCAAGGAUUGGGACAGAUCUGUGGUUUUUCUCUGAAGUCUCUGAAAGAAUUAUGUUUAGUAUUUAUGGUGGGGGGGGGCAGAAGUCAACUUUAUUUUUAGAAUUUAUCUGUAUGUACUCAGAGUGGACCUAAAAUUCUCAUAAACUAAU
This 455-nucleotide long non-coding RNA is filed under the name Fukomys damarensis (Damara mole-rat). Its description in RNAcentral is "lncRNA (ENSFDAG00000023868.1)". The record is from RNAcentral. Lineage: Eukaryota; Metazoa; Chordata; Mammalia; Rodentia; Bathyergidae.